RNAcentral lists this ribosomal RNA (253 nucleotides) under uncultured bacterium. RNAcentral's name for it is "partial 16S ribosomal RNA". It matches the Rfam family "Bacterial small subunit ribosomal RNA", at positions 524 to 776 of the family's 1533-position model. The record is from RNAcentral.
UACAGAGGGUGCAAACGUUGCUCGGAAUCAUUGGGCGUAAAGCGCACGUAGGCGGUCUGUUAUGUCGGAUUUGAAAGCCCUUGGCUUAACUGAGGAAGUGCAUCCGAAACUGGCAGGCUAGAGUACUAAAGAGGGUCGCGGAAUUCCCGGUGUAGAGGUGAAAUUCGUAGAUAUCGGGAGGAACACCGGUGGCGAAGGCGGCGACCUGGGUAGAUACUGACGCUGAGGUGCGAAAGCGUGGGGAGCAAACAGG